This 466-nucleotide ribosomal RNA is filed under the name uncultured bacterium. Its description in RNAcentral is "partial 16S ribosomal RNA". It matches the Rfam family "Bacterial small subunit ribosomal RNA", at positions 28 to 507 of the family's 1533-position model. The record is from RNAcentral.
GACGAACGCUGGCGGCGUGCUUAACACAUGCAAGUCGAACGGAAAGGCCCUGCUUGCAGGGUACUCGAGUGGCGAACGGGUGAGUAACACGUGGGUGAUCUGCCCUGCACUUCGGGAUAAGCCUGGGAAACUGGGUCUAAUACCGGAUAGGAGCCAUUUUUAGUGUGAUGGUUGGAAAGUUUUUUUCGGUGUAGGAUGAGCUCGCGGCCUAUCAGCUUGUUGGUGGGGUAAUGGCCUACCAAGGCGGCGACGGGUAGCCGGCCUGAGAGGGUGGACGGCCACAUUGGGACUGAGAUACGGCCCAGACUCCUACGGGAGGCAGCGGUGGGGAAUAUUGCACAAUGGGCGCAAGCCUGAUGCAGCGACGCCGCGUGGGGGAUGACGGCCUUCGGGUUGUAAACUCCUUUCGCUAGGGACGAAGCUUUUUGUGACGGUACCUAGAUAAGAAGCACCGGCUAACUACGUG